Molecule: ribosomal RNA, 851 nt
Filed under: uncultured bacterium
Lineage: Bacteria
Description: bacterial SSU rRNA
Rfam family: Bacterial small subunit ribosomal RNA
Source: RNAcentral
CAUGCAAGUCGAACGAGAGAGAAGGAGCUUGCUUCUUCGAUCGAGUGGCGAACGGGUGAGUAACGCGUGAGGAACCUGCCUCAAAGAGGGGGACAACAGUUGGAAACGACUGCUAAUACCGCAUAAGCCCACGGGUCGGCAUCGACCUGAGGGAAAAGGAGCAAUCCGCUUUGAGAUGGCCUCGCGUCCGAUUAGCUAGUUGGUGAGGUAAUGGCCCACCAAGGCGACGAUCGGUAGCCGGACUGAGAGGUUGAACGGCCACAUUGGGACUGAGACACGGCCCAGACUCCUACGGGAGGCAGCAGUGGGGAAUAUUGCACAAUGGGGGAAACCCUGAUGCAGCGACGCCGCGUGGAGGAAGAAGGUCUUCGGAUUGUAAACUCCUGUUGUUGAGGAAGAUAAUGACGGUACUCAACAAGGAAGUGACGGCUAACUACGUGCCAGCAGCCGCGGUAAAACGUAGGUCACAAGCGUUGUCCGGAAUUACUGGGUGUAAAGGGAGCGCAGGCGGGAAGACAAGUUGGAAGUGAAAUCUAUGGGCUCAACCCAUAAACUGCUUUCAAAACUGUUUUUCUUGAGUAGUGCAGAGGUAGGCGGAAUUCCCGGUGUAGCGGUGGAAUGCGUAGAUAUCGGGAGGAACACCAGUGGCGAAGGCGGCCUACUGGGCACCAACUGACGCUGAGGCUCGAAAGUGUGGGUAGCAAACAGGAUUAGAUACCCUGGUAGUCCACACCGUAAACGAUGAUUACUAGGUGUUGGAGGAUUGACCCCUUCAGUGCCGCAGUUAACACAAUAAGUAAUCCACCUGGGGAGUACGACCGCAAGGUUGAAACUCAAAGGAAUUGACGGGG